This 248-nucleotide long non-coding RNA is filed under the name Prunus persica (peach). RNAcentral's name for it is "long non-coding RNA (PPER_LNC005299)". Lineage: Eukaryota; Viridiplantae; Streptophyta; Magnoliopsida; Rosales; Rosaceae. The record is from RNAcentral.
UUGAGUCCAAAGUUUGGGGAACAUCCUAAUACGGUGGGAGGAGUCAUUUGGUGCCUUUUGCCUGAAAUCCAAUGGCUAAAACUAUGCAAUACACCAACCACUCCAUUUCAGAACGAACUUCGUACGAACCUGAAUUGUCCAAUUUCAUGGACCAAGCGAUAUCGGAUUGAGGCCAAAACUUGGGAAACAACAUAAUAUGAUGGUUGGAGUCAUUUGGUGACAUUUGAGUGAAAUCCAAUGGCUUAAAC